AUGCCCUUAGACCUAAAAAAAAAUCGAUUCUCACAGACUUAGUGGUCUCCCUCUCUCAUCCUUUCGAUCUCACUGUUCUCACUCUAUCGCUACCAUUUCCAUCACUCUAUCGGUAACGAUGGGUCUAUCAACAAAUCUCCAUAGCCUCAACCUUCGAUUCCACUUUCUUCACCGGUGGUAACGGAGGAGUCAAGAAGCCACAUCGUUACCGUCCUGGAACCAUCGCUGUUCGUGAGAUUCAUAAAUCUAGUGAAGAUGAGAUUAGAGCCGAGAAGAAUCCUCGCCCAUUUGAUGAAGAUGAUAUCGCUCUCGUAAAGAAUUAUGUUUUCACAAGAUGCAGGUUUUCACAAGAUGCAGGUCUUCACAUGUGUAGGUUUUAACAUUAUACAUAACGUGUUCUCAUAAUUUCUGUGGAUCUGGUUGUUGUUGUUGUUGUCUAGAAGUUCAAGUUGUGGAGACAUGUGACUGAGGCUAAGAAGAAACAUUCAGAGAAGAAGGUGACGAAGUCUGAUGAACCUAAGCCAAAAAGACUUAGAAUAGCCAAGGAUACGAAGAAGAGCUCUUCUACCUUAAACAUGCCCAAACGACCUCUUACGGGCUUCUUUAUCUUCGUGAAUAUAUUCUGUCAUUCUUUUUGACGAGAGCAUCUAAGUUCUCUCAUUAAGGAUGUUGCAAAGAUCGGUGGUGGAAAGUGGACGUCUAUGACUGAGGAAUUGAGUUGCUUUAUUAUCUUGUUUCUUUGUUAGUUUCAUAGCGAUUUGUUUCUCUUUGUAGUUUAUCUCAUAAAUUAGUACUUUGUUGUGUAAGAGUAAUAGUUAGAUUUUUUUGUAUAAGACUUGUUAUAUAUGUUUUGUGUAAUGAAUAUUUUUGAUAAUUUA
Molecule: long non-coding RNA, 878 nt
Organism: Arabidopsis lyrata subsp. lyrata
Lineage: Eukaryota; Viridiplantae; Streptophyta; Magnoliopsida; Brassicales; Brassicaceae
Exons: 7
Source: RefSeq, a predicted model, not a curated record